RNAcentral lists this ribosomal RNA (523 nucleotides) under Pontibacter sp. AT03-04. RNAcentral's name for it is "bacterial SSU rRNA". It matches the Rfam family "Bacterial small subunit ribosomal RNA", at positions 395 to 917 of the family's 1533-position model. The record is from RNAcentral. Lineage: Bacteria; Pseudomonadati; Bacteroidota; Cytophagia; Cytophagales; Hymenobacteraceae.
UGCCGCGUGCAGGAAGAAGGCCUUCUGGGUUGUAAACUGCUUUUACCAAGGAAGAAAACGCCCCUGCGGGGGUAACUGACGGUACUUGGUGAAUAAGCACCGGCUAACUCCGUGCCAGCAGCCGCGGUAAUACGGAGGGUGCAAGCGUUGUCCGGAUUUAUUGGGUUUAAAGGGUGCGUAGGCGGCCCGUUAAGUCAGCGGUGAAAUCCCGGGGCUCAACCCCGGAACUGCCGUUGAUACUGGCGGGCUUGAGUUCGGUGAAGGCGGGCGGAACUGGCGGUGUAGCGGUGAAAUGCUUAGAUACCGCCAAGAACCCCGAUUGCGUAGGCAGCUCGCUGUGCCGAAACUGACGCUGAGGCACGAAAGCGUGGGGAGCGAACAGGAUUAGAUACCCUGGUAGUCCACGCCGUAAACGAUGAUGACUCGAUGUUGGCGAUACACUGUCAGCGUCCAAGCGAAAGCGUUAAGUCAUCCACCUGGGGAGUACGCCCGCAAGGGUGAAACUCAAAGAAAUUUUGACGGA